Molecule: long non-coding RNA, 1774 nt
Organism: Gadus chalcogrammus (walleye pollock)
Lineage: Eukaryota; Metazoa; Chordata; Actinopteri; Gadiformes; Gadidae
Exons: 3
Source: RefSeq, a predicted model, not a curated record
CAGUAUAGUAGGCUAAAUAUUUGUAUUCUUUGUCACACAGGUGACACAGGUAGUGUGUACUCCCGUCGGUGCAAGCCUCAUGCGACCACUUAUAGCAAAAAUCACACUGGACCCAAGGUGGGGGUGACUCCAUCAGUGGGCCAGGUGAUGGUGGGAGGAGCAGCUGAGGUGGCACCUGGGGUGACUCCAGCAAGGGGGGCGGCAUCAGGAGCGGGCGAGAAGAGCCUCUUCUUGGGAGCCCGAGAGGAGCUGCUUCAGAGUUCGGGGUGUCGUAAGUAUAGCAGUUGUCCUGAAAACAUUAAAUUGGACAUUUUAAUGCUAAUUUAAUUACUUUAAAUGUGGUAGGUCUACAUGACUGUAGACAAAGGAAGGCCAGACAAGAUAUGAGAUGCAAGAGUAACUCCAAAUGCCUCUUUCUCCCUCUUCUCUUUGUAAUCUUUCUAGGCCCGGCCUUGGGGUAAGACCGGACGAUGUCCAGGCUGAAUUCGAGAGCAUCUUCCUCAGGCCAGACAGCUUCGUCAGGCCCGGCAGCUAGUCCAGUGGCACCUGGAGAAGCGCUGACCUCGUCACCCGAAGCCUGGGGAGGAGGACGGUCUGGAAUAGGAUCCGGUGAAGUCCUUUUCCUCAAACGCGGAGGGUUUAAAAGGCCAGAUCCCUUGAAUAGAGAACCCGGAGGUGAUGUUCUUCACUGUUGCAGCCUCUGGUGGGACGGGUGAUUGUCCAGCAGGCGGAGCAGCUUCGACUCCUUGGACACGGGUGUGACUGGUGAAGUGGGCCAGGUACAGGAGGAAGUCUGGCUCCUUCCUCCAGCCAGUUGGGUUGGCGGUGCCAGCACAGCCAACGGGUCCACCCCUCAGGAAGUGGUCUUCGAACCGCUUACGGGGGAAGAUAAAGAAUGGCGGAACAAGGUCGCCCUGAGCAUUGCAUGCCAGGGCAACUGUGACCAGGGUCCCCCUCUCCGCUGAGGUCACUGACCCGACCCGACCUGCUUCUGCCCCAUCUGGGCGACGACACGGUCUGGCACCUGGACAGUGGUGACCCCUGUAAAUAGUUUGGUGAGCAUAGUUGUGUAUAUAUAUAUAGUUAUGUGCAUAUAGUUGUUAGCAUUGUUUCUAUUUAGAUAUCUAGUUACGUGUAUAUCGUUUUUUUUCAAAUUUUUAUGGUUGUGAGCAUAGUUUAUUUUUAUAAAUGUAGUUAUGUGUUUAUAGUUGUGUUUUAUAUUAAUAUAGUUCAUAUUAAAUACAGGUUUCAUUAAUGUUCCAAAUAUCCUUGGCCUGGAACUGGUGCCGGUCCAGCACCGUCUUUCAAUUUUGGUAGAACAAGUUGACAUUGUUUUGAUUGAAGCUGGACAACCGUUGUUGGCUAGUGGCCUCUGGACGCCAAAGGGGGAGGCUGCUACUGCGCUCCAUGAAGGAGGUGAUCCAGUCCUUCCUCGACCAGGAUGCAGGGAAUGGGCAGCUGUAAUGCACGGGGUCGUAAAAAGUUGAUGUACAUUUGUGUGUUUAUGUUUAUGUUAUUUCUUCAUAUUUAUUAAUUAAACUAUGUGCAUAGCAUACAUGUGUGCCUGUCCAAAAAUGUAUGUAGCCCUUUUCUCAUAACUGACCUCAUUAGGGGUGAGCCCAAAAUAAAUGGCUUCACUGCUCUCCUCUGCCCUCCCCUUGAGGUAGCGUGACAACGCGACAUGAUGUUGUCGCGUUGCAGGAACCAGCCCACGGGAGGUGGUUCUCCUUCUGACGUGUGGCAUUUUUCUCUCAGUAAACUCUUGAUGCAUGUG